CAUAAUCUUUUGAUACUAAUUCAACAUUUUUAGAAACAAUAUUAUUCCUGGUCUGCGUUUUAUCAAAUAUUUAAAAUCUUAUUAUGAAUCGUCAUAAAGAACACUAACCCAAAACGUCAACUUUGCCAAUUGUAAAAUGAACUUUUGUUAAUAGUAUUGACUUAAUAUCGCAUGCGACCUUUUGACGUCAGGGUUCUUGGCACUAAAAGCAAUUUAUUUUCUUGUUCUAACAACUGAACACAAUAGUUAGUAAUGUUUUUUGUUGUCAAGUUAUGUGUUUAAAAUAAUUACCAUUGAAUACCUAAGGAAAUAAAGUAUUUACUACCAACAAAUGUAUAAUAAAUAUAUUUGAGUGAAAUUGUUGAGUGAAUUAAAUAUAUUUAUUGUUCUGGAUAUUUUAGGUACUAUAUAUAACUUUUUUGUACACGAGAGAGUAAAUUUUUAUUCAUUUUAUGCAAAAAUAACUUUUUAUAUAUAAUCUUAUAUAUAAAAGCUGACGUCAGACUUGCAUUUAAAUUAAGUAAAACAGUCAUUCAAUAUCUAGAGGCAAUCUGGAAUUUUUUAACAUCGCGUAAACAAUAUAUAACAUUGAAAAAAAAUUUUGAUCGUGACAACACACAAUAAAGCUAUAUUUGUGUCAACACAUAAAUAAAGAUAUCACAUAAUUUGAGUUUGUUUGUAUAAAUAAAAGUUGAUAAGUUCAAAUAAACGAUUAGAGAGCGGUAGAUGCAUUUUUGGUUUGGUUUUUUUGAUUAAAAAAGUCAAAUCAAAAAGUUAAAAAUGUUAUUUUAAUUGUACAAAGCCUUCAUUUUGUCUUGUUGUGAUGCUUAUCUUUUAUCACGUCAAGUUAUUUACAGAAUUUAGGUUGUCUCAUUGAAUGUUACGUUGACCAAAGUAAAAAAUUUAAGUAAAUUUGAAAGUUAUAAUCAUUAGCAUUUAUUCACCGAAUGUUUUCAUGAAAGUCAUCGUUUGACGACGAAAUAAAAUCAAGCGUUGACAAACGAUGGUGGGUUAUUUGGAUAAACGAUCUUUACGAAACUUCUUUCAAAACGUCUUCGAAAAGUUUUUUGUUAAUCAUGUGAUUAAUGAUAAUCUGGCAGAAAGUUAUCGUAGAAAGAAAUAUGAAAAGAAGUCAUCGACGUUACAUGUUUCCAAAAAUAUUGUAAAUAAUGAAGAAGAAUUUCUUUUAUUCUAUGUUCAA
Hydra vulgaris (swiftwater hydra) is the source of this 1201-nucleotide long non-coding RNA. RefSeq lists it as uncharacterized. The record is from RefSeq and is a predicted model, not a curated record. Lineage: Eukaryota; Metazoa; Cnidaria; Hydrozoa; Anthoathecata; Hydridae.